AACGAACGCUGGCGGCAGGCCUAACACAUGCAAGUCGAGCGGUAAGGCCCUUUCGGGGGUACACGAGCGGCGAACGGGUGAGUAACACGUGGGUGACCUGCCCUCAGCUCUGGGAUAAGCCUGGGAAACCGGGGUCUAAUACCGGAUAUGACUCCAUGACGCAUGUUGUGGGGUGGAAAGCCUUGUGCGGCUGAGGAUGGGCCCGCGGCCUAUCAGCUUGUUGGUGGGGUGAUGGCCUACCAAGGCGACGACGGGUAGCCGGCCUGAGAGGGCGACCGGCCACACUGGGACUGAGACACGGCCCAGACUCCUACGGGAGGCAGCAGUGGGGAAUCUUGCGCAAUGGGCGAAAGCCUGACGCAGCGACGCCGCGUGAGGGAUGACGGGCCU
This 390-nucleotide ribosomal RNA is filed under the name uncultured bacterium. RNAcentral's name for it is "bacterial SSU rRNA". It matches the Rfam family "Bacterial small subunit ribosomal RNA", at positions 28 to 418 of the family's 1533-position model. The record is from RNAcentral.